Cyprinodon variegatus (sheepshead minnow) is the source of this 86-nucleotide small nucleolar RNA. NCBI's taxonomy places the organism in Eukaryota, Metazoa, Chordata, Actinopteri, Cyprinodontiformes, Cyprinodontidae. The record is from Ensembl.
UGCAAAUGAUGCUUUUUCUCACGAUGGUCUUCCAAGCUCAGGAGGCUCUGACGACAAUGCCUUUCGGCAAAUGCUGAUGCAGUGUG